This 408-nucleotide ribosomal RNA is filed under the name uncultured bacterium. RNAcentral describes it as "partial 16S ribosomal RNA". It matches the Rfam family "Bacterial small subunit ribosomal RNA", at positions 28 to 526 of the family's 1533-position model. The record is from RNAcentral.
GACGAACGCUGGCGGCGUGCUUAACACAUGCAAGUCGAACGAAGUGGCGAACGGGUGAGUAACGCGUAAUAAAUCUGCACUUCAGAGGGGGACAACAGGUGGAAACGACUGCUUAUACGGCAUACUCACGGAGGGGAGUGCGUCUGAUUAGCUAGUUGGAGGGGGAACGGCCCAACAAGGGGAGGACCCGGAGCCGGUCUGAGAGGGUGAACGGCCACAUUGGGACUUAGGCACGGCCCAGACUCCUACGGGAGGCAGCAGUGGGGAAUCUUCCGCAAUGGGCGAAAGUCUGACGGAGCAACGCAGCGUGAGUUAUGACGGCCUUCGGGUUGUAAAGCUCUGUUAAUCGGGACGCGGUACCGGAAUAGAAAGCCACGGCUAACUACGUGCCAGCAGCCGCGGUAAUUC